RNAcentral lists this ribosomal RNA (460 nucleotides) under uncultured bacterium. Its description in RNAcentral is "partial 16S ribosomal RNA". It matches the Rfam family "Bacterial small subunit ribosomal RNA", at positions 338 to 795 of the family's 1533-position model. The record is from RNAcentral.
CCUACGGGAGGCAGCAGUGAGGAAUAUUGGUCAAUGGGCGCGAGCCUGAACCAGCCAAGUAGCGUGAAGGAUGACUGCCCUAUGGGUUGUAAACUUCUUUUGUAAAGGAAUAAAGAGAGGCACGUGUGCCUUUUUGUAUGUACGGUAUGAUUAAGGCUCGGCUAACUCCGUGCCAGCAGCCGCGGUAAUACGGAGGAUCCGAGCGUUAUCCGGAUUUAUUGGGUGUAAAGGGAGCGUAGGUGGGAUUUGAAGUCAGAUGUGAAAGUUAGGGGCUCAACCGUAAAAUUGCAUUUGAUACUGGCAGUCUUGAGUACAGUAGAGGUAGGCGGAAUUCGUGGUGUAGCGGUGAAAUGCGUAGAUAUCACGAAGAACUCCGAUUGCGAAGGCAGCUUGCUGGACUGCCACUGACAUUGAGGCGCGAAAGUGUGGGUAGCAAACAGGAUUAGAUACCCGAGUAGUC